GCACUGAUGAAGAGUCCCAAACUAGGACCAAACAGCUGUCCAGUAC
Non-coding RNA from Trichobilharzia regenti, 46 nucleotides. Lineage: Eukaryota; Metazoa; Platyhelminthes; Trematoda; Strigeidida; Schistosomatidae. The record is from Rfam.